UGGGGAAUUUUGGACAAUGGGCGCAAGCCUGAUCCAGCAAUGCCGCGUGCAGGAUGAAGGCCUUCGGGUUGUAAACUGCUUUUGUACGGAACGAAAAAGCUCUCUCUAAUACAGGGGGUGAAUGACGGUACCGUAAGAAUAAGCACCGGCUAACUACGUGCCAGCAGCCGCGGUAAUACGUAGGGUGCAAGCGUUAAUCGGAAUUACUGGGCGUAAAGCGUGCGCAGGCGGUUUUGUAAGACAGAGGUGAAAUCCCCGGGCUCAACCUGGGAACUGCCUUUGNGACUGCAAAGCUGGAGUGCGGCAGAGGGGGAUGGAAUUCCGCGUGUAGCAGUGAAAUGCGUAGAUAUGCGGAGGAACACCGAUGGCGAAGGCAAUCCCCUGGGCCUGCACUGACGCUCAUGCACGAAAGCGUGGGGAGCAAACA
RNAcentral lists this ribosomal RNA (427 nucleotides) under uncultured bacterium. Its description in RNAcentral is "bacterial SSU rRNA". It matches the Rfam family "Bacterial small subunit ribosomal RNA", at positions 355 to 774 of the family's 1533-position model. The record is from RNAcentral.